This 482-nucleotide ribosomal RNA is filed under the name uncultured bacterium. RNAcentral's name for it is "bacterial SSU rRNA". It matches the Rfam family "Bacterial small subunit ribosomal RNA", at positions 28 to 524 of the family's 1533-position model. The record is from RNAcentral.
GACGAACGCUGGCGGCGUGCUUAACACAUGCAAGUCGAGCGGUAAGGCCCUUUCGGGGGUACACGAGCGGCGAACGGGUGAGUAACACGUGGGUGACCUGCCCUCAGCUCUGGGAUAAGCCCGGGAAACUGGGUCUAAUACCGGAUAUGACUUCAUGACGCAUGUUGUGGAGUGGAAAGCCUUGUGCGGCUGAGGAUGGGCCCGCGGCCUAUCAGCUUGUUGGUGGGGUGANGGCCUACCAAGGCGACGACGGGUAGCCGGCCUGAGAGGGCGACCGGCCACACUGGGACUGAGACACGGCCCAGACUCCUACGGGAGGCAGCAGUGGGGAAUCUUGCGCAAUGGGCGAAAGCCUGACGCAGCGACGCCGCGUGAGGGAUGACGGCCCUCGGGUUGUAAACCUCUUUCAGCUCCGACGAAGCGGAAGUGACGGUAGGAGCAGAAGAAGCACCGGCCAACUACGUGCCAGCCGCCGCUGUAAU